UCUGCCCCGAGAGGCUUUUCAGGUGUGGCUUCUGUGUCACAUGUGAAUCAGUAUGUAGCAGAGAGGAGAGAGGCUAUAUGUAUGCUCAGUAUUCUGACCUGUGAAUAUCUGAAUGACUAGUAGCCUAACAAU
Molecule: small nucleolar RNA, 132 nt
Organism: Arvicanthis niloticus (Nile rat)
Lineage: Eukaryota; Metazoa; Chordata; Mammalia; Rodentia; Muridae
Product: small nucleolar RNA SNORA17
Source: RefSeq, a predicted model, not a curated record